AAGUCGUAACAAGGUUUCCGUAUUAACACGUAUCCAACGUUAAAACCGUGAACCUUCAGUGUGCUCGUACGAGCAAUCCCUGGUAAAUCAUCGCCGAACAGUUUUGAUUCAGGGACUUCUGCGAAGAGUGUGCUUGUAGCGCGAGGCAAGUGGCCUGGCAUCCUUGUCUGAAAGUGUCAAGGGUGGCGCAGUCACGAUCGCUAGAGGCCGACACGGCCGGCGACCGGGUCACCGGGCUCACGCCCCUUAAUAACCUUUGCAUGAAAACGGGCCUGCGCUUAAUUGUGCGGCCAUAAACCGAACAACUGUUAACAAUGGAUAUCUUGGUUCUC
RNAcentral lists this unclassified non-coding RNA (332 nucleotides) under fungal sp. RNAcentral's name for it is "partial internal transcribed spacer region". The record is from RNAcentral. Lineage: Eukaryota; Fungi.